AUUCCAGCUCCAAUAGCAUAUAUUAAAAUUGUUGCAGUUAAAAUGCUCGUAGUUUGUUAGGAAGUUAUCAUUGCGAAAUAUUUUAUUUCGUAAAUUGGUAAAUUUAAUAUGUUUUGUUCGUUUGUACGGCUGAAUGUCUGUCACCUUGAGGAAUGAAUAGUGCUUAACACGCUUUGUAUGAAUUUAAAUGCGUGGUAUGACGUUAAAAGGUUCCUUAUUAAUGUGUGCUUAAAGCAUUGUUGGAGUAAUAAAAAUAUAAAAGUUGGCAAGGGUAUGCAUACUUAACUGUUAGAGGUGAAAUUCUUAAAUCAGUUAAAGAUGGUCUUAUGCGAAAGUAUUUUCCUGGACGUUUUUUCUUAAUAAAGAGCGAAAGUUAAGGGAUCGAAGAUGAUUAGAUACCAUCGUAGUCUUAACUGUAAACUUUACCUACAAGUGUUUGGAAUUGUAAGGACUUUUUCAGAAUCUUAGAAGAAAUUAUAAGUUUAUGGGUUCUGGGGGGAGUAUAGUUGCAAGAUUGAAACUUAAAGGAAUUGACGGAAGGGCACCACCAGAAGUGGAGCUUGCGGCUUAAUUUGACUCAACACGGGAAAUCUUACCAGUGCAAAACACAUUUAGGAUUGACAGAUUGAUUGUUUUUUCUUAAUUUUGUGGGUGGUGGUGCAUGGCCGUUCUUAGUUGGUGGAGUGGUCUGUCAGGUUAAUUCCGUUAACGAACGAGACUUCCCCUAUGUAAUUUAUAGCUGCAUAUCAAUAUUUGCGGCGAUAUUUCUGGGAUUUUAUAUUUUUCGUAUAAAGUAACAAGAAGCAAUAACAGGUCUGUGAUGCCCUUAGAUGUGCUGGGUCGCACGCGCGCUACAAUGGUGUAUCUAAUUCAGGGUUACUUUUGAGAUAGUAGUGUAAUCUACAAUGCAUAGUGUCAGGAACAAACCCUUGGUAUUGUUGGUUUCAAACGUGGAAUUUCUUGUAAAUACAUUUCAUUAUUAUGUGUUGAAUGCGUCCCUGCCCUUUGUACACACCGCCCGUCGCUGCAACUGAUUGAGUUGGUCGGUGAAUUUCUCGGAAUUGUUUAAAUAUAUGUAUUUUUUAAGAAAGGGAAUCAAACUGUACCACCUUAGAAAUUGCAAAAGUCGUAACAAGGUUUCCGUAGGUGAACCUGCGGAAG
RNAcentral lists this ribosomal RNA (1161 nucleotides) under marine sediment metagenome. RNAcentral's name for it is "bacterial SSU rRNA". It matches the Rfam family "Eukaryotic small subunit ribosomal RNA", at positions 582 to 1823 of the family's 1831-position model. The record is from RNAcentral.